GAUGAAGAACGCAGCGAAAUGCGAUAAGUAAUGUGAAUUGCAGAAUUCAGUGAAUCAUCGAAUCUUUGAACGCACAUUGCGCCCCCUGGUAUUCCGGGGGGCACGCCUGUCCGAGCGUCAUUACAACCCUCAAGCUCAGCUUGGUGUUGGGCCCCGCCGCCCCGGCGGGCCCUAAAGUCAGUGGCGGUGCCGUCCGGCUCCGAGCGUAGUAAUUCUUCUCGCUCUGGAGGUCCGGUCGUGUGCUCGCCAGCAACCCCCAAUUUUUUUCAGGUUGACCUCGGAUCAGGUAGGGAUACCCGCUGAACUUAAGCAUAUCAAUAAGCGGAGGA
Molecule: unclassified non-coding RNA, 329 nt
Filed under: soil metagenome
Description: partial contains 5.8S ribosomal RNA, internal transcribed spacer 2, and large subunit ribosomal RNA
Rfam family: 5.8S ribosomal RNA (bases 1-120)
Source: RNAcentral